Long non-coding RNA from Helianthus annuus (common sunflower), 447 nucleotides. RefSeq lists it as uncharacterized. The transcript is spliced from 3 exons. The record is from RefSeq and is a predicted model, not a curated record. NCBI's taxonomy places the organism in Eukaryota, Viridiplantae, Streptophyta, Magnoliopsida, Asterales, Asteraceae.
UCAGAACAGGGAGAAAAGGGGGUUCAACCCUAGUUCUUGAAUCCAGCCAAAUUAAAGAGAAUUUCAUAGAAAUCGAACUGCAUGAGUUAAGAAUUCGACCAUCUAAACCUAUUUAUUGAAGUGGCGUGAAAGAAGAAGGUUCCAACACUAGGAAAUCAGAAAGUUCACAAGAUCGAGGUAAAUCCUCAAGCUAGGCGGUCGGACGAUUUGGAAUGAGCACACUUGAUCUACGCCCACUACACGCUUCCAUCAUAAGUGAAUAUAACGUGGUCUAAACUUUUGGUCUUAUGUACUUUAAAUUGUGUAGUAUUUUGAUGUCCUUAUGGUUUGGUUUAAAACUUUUUAGUGGUAGUCUUGUUGUAAACAACUUAAACGUUCCGUUUUGGGUUUUUGUCAAGGAUGAUUUAUGUAGAAAUGGUUUACCGUAUAAAACAGGUGUUAGUGGUC